UACAGAGGUCCCGAGCGUUGUUCGGAUUCAUUGGGCGUAAAGGGCGCGUAGGCGGUUUGUUAAGUCGGUUGUGAAAGCCCGGGGCUCAACCCCGGAGGGUCAACCGAUACUGGCAGACUAGAGUACAGAAGAGGUAGCUGGAAUUCCCGGUGUAGCGGUGAAAUGCGUAGAUAUGCGGAGGAACACCGAUGGCGAAGGCAGUCCCCUGGGCCUGUACUGACGCUCAUGCACGAAAGCGUGGGGAGCAAACAGG
This 253-nucleotide ribosomal RNA is filed under the name uncultured bacterium. RNAcentral describes it as "partial 16S ribosomal RNA". It matches the Rfam family "Bacterial small subunit ribosomal RNA", at positions 524 to 776 of the family's 1533-position model. The record is from RNAcentral.